Molecule: ribosomal RNA, 458 nt
Filed under: uncultured bacterium
Lineage: Bacteria
Description: partial 16S ribosomal RNA
Rfam family: Bacterial small subunit ribosomal RNA
Source: RNAcentral
GCUACGUGAGGCUGCAGUGAGGAAUAUUGGUCAAUGGGCGAGAGCCUGAACCAGCCAAGUCGCGUGAGGGAGUACUGCCCUAUGGGUUGUAAACCUCUUUUGUCGGGGAGCAAAAGCCGGACGUGUCCGGCUGUGAGAGUACCCGCAGAAAAAGCCUCGGCUAACUCCGUGCCAGCAGCCGCGGUAAUACGGAGGAAGCGAGCGUUAUUCGGAUUUAUGGGGUGUAAAGGUUGCGCAGGCGGAUUUUUAAGUCAGUGGUCAAAUCGUGGGGCUCAACCCCAUCCAGCCGUUGAACCUGGGGAUCUAUAGUGUGCGUGAGGUAUGCGGAAUGAGUGGUGUAGCGGUGAAAUGCAUAGAUAUCACGCAGAACCCCGAUUGCGAAGGCAGCAUACCGGUGCACAACUGACGCUCAGGCACGAAAGCGUGGGUAUCGAACAGGAUUAGAUACCCGAGUAGUC